GAUGAAGAACGUAGCGAAAUGCGAUAAGUAAUGUGAAUUGCAGAAUUCAGUGAAUCAUCGAAUCUUUGAACGCACAUUGCGCCCCCUGGUAUUCCGGGGGGCAUGCCUGUCCGAGCGUCAUUACAACCCUCAAGCUCAGCUUGGUGUUGGGCCCCGCCGCCCCGGCGGGCCCUAAAGUCAGUGGCGGUGCCGUCCGGCUCCGAGCGUAGUAAUUCUUCUCGCUCUGGAGGUCCGGUCGUGUGCUCGCCAGCUACCCCCAAUUUUUUUCAGGUUGACCUCGGAUCAGGUAGGGAUACCCGCUGAACUUAAGCAUAUCAAUAAGCGGAGGA
RNAcentral lists this unclassified non-coding RNA (329 nucleotides) under soil metagenome. RNAcentral's name for it is "partial contains 5.8S ribosomal RNA, internal transcribed spacer 2, and large subunit ribosomal RNA". The stretch from base 1 to 120 matches the Rfam family "5.8S ribosomal RNA", at positions 35 to 154 of the family's 154-position model. The record is from RNAcentral.